Molecule: long non-coding RNA, 5101 nt
Organism: Gadus chalcogrammus (walleye pollock)
Lineage: Eukaryota; Metazoa; Chordata; Actinopteri; Gadiformes; Gadidae
Exons: 6
Source: RefSeq, a predicted model, not a curated record
CAUCCAGGACGGAAUAUACUACCGUCAUCCACCAGCCGGCGACGGAGAGCGCCCGUUGAACCCCAAUCAGCGAGAUGGGAGACACCUGGCUGGACAGCCAGGAAGACAUUUUAAAAGGAGCACGAGGACUGACAUUUGGGAGGAACGGGAGCGAGGAAGAAGGAAGCCCUCGGGUCUGCGAGCAACUAGAGGCCCACAGAGGCCCUAGAGACCGUCUAUCUUGGAUAUUUAACUGCAGUUCUGUGAGUAUCCCAACUUAACCAUGAAGAUGAACUGCAAACUGUAAGUCAUUAAUUUCUCAUUACUCUUGGGCACACUGAUGUAUUUUGGCUUCCUGGUGGGUUAACCUGUUACCUGAAGGUUGAUCUGAGUAGUAAGGAUGUUUUAUUGGUUCAUGGGUUACUUAGGUGUUUGGUUUAUGUUGGUUUUAAUGAUUUGUUAAAAUGGUUACAGGCUCCGAGUUAUUGUUGUAAGAUGGAGUAAUGGGUUUGGUUCUGAUAUUUUUAGUCUUCUUUCAUUCUACUCUCCUGAGCUCUGCAUCUUCAUCACAUGAGUGUUGCUCUACUGUGAGGGUGUGGUCUGAGUGAGCAGAGGUGCAUACUGGGAUACAAAGCUGUCUCGAGUCUACAGUUCUGUAGACACGCCCCCUCAGGGGAAACCGAGUGUUUGAGAAACUGUCGUGUCGUCAGUUACAUGGACUGGAAUGUUCUUAAAGAUGGAGACAGGGAUUCAGAAGGAGAAACACCAGGGGGAGAUGAGGGGGCUCCUCAUCUCAACGACUAAAACACAACUUCAGUCUGACGCAGAACCAUGGAACACAUUCAACAGUCCCCUCCAGGCAUCGUGACUCCUCAGGAACAGUUUCAUUUCCAAGAAGGUCUUAUUUGGGGCCAUCCCCAUAUGGAUCCUGCUCCUCAAGAGCCACACCUCUCCACUGGGUGGUCUUCUGAACAGAUGACCUCCUUCCUGUCCUCAGGCUGACUAAAGCUGCACCGUUUGCAUCUGUGAAGGCCCCUCAAUCACUAAACCACUGGACUACAAAGACAUGACUUCAGAGAUGUUGAAUCAACCUGGGACACAUUUUGGAGAUGCCAAGCAUAAUCCAUCACCAAUGUGGGACGCCACUGAAGAAUGCUGUACAUAAUUUACGUCUCUGGAGACAUUGGUUGUUCUGUUCUGGGUGCCCUGGCAGGAGAGCUGGGGGUGGAUGAUGGAAUGUUAUUUGCUAUGAGGUUUUUACCCUGCAUGAUUGUUUGGCCUUUUAUGGCUCAGUGGUGUGUGUGUUUGGGUUUGACAUGAGAUGGAAGAUUUUUUGAGCAUCUCUAGGGUUCUACUGUGUGUGUGUCUCCCACUCACACCAGGCAUGGGGUUCUAUGUGCCUGUCCUGGGUACCAUGUGUGUGUGUCCGGCUUGCUUUGACAGUGAUAACGUUCAUACGAGGGUCUGUGUGAUUGGCUUGGGAUAUUGGAAUGGUCAACUAAAUCAUACCUGAUGGACGGCCACACGUUUACUUAAGGGCCUCCAGUAGACAUGAAGAGCCCUGAGCGAUGCUCCGGAGCGAGAUCCAACACACUGGGCAGGAAGGAGUGUCCAACUCAAGUGUAAAAGGAUGCAAGCGGCGUGUUCAGAUCAGUGACUUCAAACUAGGACUACACCAAUCAGGAUCAAUGGAGGAUGGACACCAAAAGGAAUUCCACAAGGAGAGUCUGACGUUGGAAAGGGACCUCAAUGGAUGUUCAAGAUGACCUUCAGACCUGUAAUGAGAUGGCUCUUCCUACCUGGCUGGAUUGAUGGAGAGCCCUGUGGAUCUUGUCUUGCUCUCAGUUGCACUUCUUCUCAGGCUGAACUGUAAUUGUUUCGGACAGGACUAGCUGAACGAUUGGUUCCCUUAAAUCAGAACCAACCCGGGAACUCCAGCUAGUGCGCUCUUCGAGCUGAAGUUGUGCUCUUCAGUUGAGGCGGUAAGGAAACCUUCACUGGGGCUUCAAGGUGUAAAGAGGAGAAUGUUUCAAAGUGUUCCAUGGUACUCUGAUGAAGACCGUUGUUGUGUUCCACUGGCUGCGAGGAAGAACCUACACAUCUUCCUCUUGGCCUUUCUCCUCUGAGAAUCCUGGCGCCAUCUUGAAGGAUAUUCCAGCUCAUGUAACUGAUGUCACGACAGAUUCUCAAACAUUUAGUUUCUCCUGAGGGGCGUGUCUAUGGAACUGAAGACUUCAGACAGCACUGUAUCCCAGCAUGCAUCUCUGCUCACUCAGACCACACCCCCAUGAGUAGGAUGCAACACUCUAGUGAUGUUAUUUAUAAAUAACGAGGGAGCAGACUAAGGUGAUUGGAACACAAUGGAAUGUCAAGUCUGUACAUUUUUAAGCCAUGAAGAUGGUUGGAUAGUUCAGGAAUUGGGCUUCUUUUUAUUAUGGGCAGUCCUUUCACUCAGAUGCCCACUUCUCACUGGAGCUGUACAUGUGUUGGCUGGCAUGAUUUGCUGUUGGUGAUGAGGCAGUCAGGGUGACGUUGCAGGGCUAUGGUCGGCUCUCUGUGAGCUCAACGUUUAGAUUUGCUCUGUAUGGUUUGUACCCUGAAUAAUCUAGAUAAUUGUAAAAUGUAGACACGGAUUUGUAUUGAAUUAUUCCCGGUUUUUAGGUUUAAAGUUGUUGUGGGACGUACAUGGUAGUUUGGUUCCUCGUAUGGUUUUGAGUGAUAUAACUUGUACACACUGGGUGCAUAAUAAUGUAAAGGUACACUGAAUAGUAUUAAUGACCAACAGCAACAAACAGAUCUCCUCAAGGUAAGUCUGUUGGCUGUAUUUUAAUGAAGACCAUCGCUGGACUUCAGGAUCUUCCUCCGUUCAGCUCAAGGUGAGGCGCUGGUUCUGUUUUUUCUUUGGUUGGUUCCGGCCGGAAUGUUCGUAUUCCAGUCGGACGGUUUGUGCUUCCCGCCGUGGAAGGUUCUGAGUGCGGUCACUUGAUUCAGUCCCAAUGGUUAGCAUAGAACGUUGUAGUCUUGACAACCAUAAGAAACCACCUGGCAGUUAGUUUGACGGGAGUCCCCUGAGGGAAUCUGGCGGAACGUUCUUGAUUGUAUUUGAGUAACCUCGAGCCGUUGCCAACGGAAACAAUUUUUUCAGUCGGUUUCCAUUGGGAAUUGUUGCCCCUAUCUUAAACAACUAAAUUUUGAUAUUAAAUACAUACUGAGACGUACGUCGUACAAUAUGUUGAUAAUUUCCGAUGGUUGCGCCGUACUUUUAACCACGAUGACGUUGCGGGACUCUCUGCGUUCAAAACGGCGUUCUACUUGCGGGCCCAUUUUUGACAUCAGGGAAGGCUGAAAAUCAUUUCAAGGUGGAAGAUAAUUUGACAUUUCUUCAACGGAACCCAGCACCUGAAUAUGGCUGAGUAUAUUUGAUUUAAUAUCGAUACUGCUUAGCGUUCUUUGUUACUUCAGCUUUCGUACGUUCUAAAUAUCUGGUGUCAAUAAUUGCCACAGAAGUUAAACCCUACCCAAUGGAAUGACGUUAAACAACGACUUUGGUGCAGAGUUACCAACUGGAUAAUAUCAAAGCUAAAAUAAUGGCCGUCAUUCCCACAUGUUACAGUAGAAGAUACUCUAGAACUGUACAAGGUUAAAAAGGUAACAUGUAGUUUGUCCCAAGGUGUCUGCCUCCUCACCCAGAGCAAGACCUCCAUCUCCUCACCCAGAGCCAGACCUCCAUCUCCUCACCCAGAGCCAGACCUCCACCUCCUCACCCAGAGCCAUACCUCCACCUCCUCACCCAGAGCCAGACCUCCACCUCCUCACCCAGAGCCAGACCUCCACCUCCUCACCCAGAGCCAGACCUCCACCUCCUCACCCAGAGCCAGACCUCCACCUCCGGUCAGAAGUCCUCCAGAACAGCUGAAAGGCGAGGCUGAGAGGCUGGGGACCGGAGGCUUGUGGUGCCAGGAUGGACCCGAGACUGAGGCUGGAGACCAGGGGCCUGCAGCACCGGACCAGAGGGUAUAUAUACCAGACGACUACAUCUGUUUUACCACAUGUUGAAGCAAGACUUCCGCUGUUUGUUCCAGACCAGGACUCUGUCUGAGGAGAGCUGCUGGAGGAGCUGAGACGCUGGAGGACGACUAGGAAUCGACCAACAACGAUUCCUCAACGUGUUUCUGGAGCGGAGGCGAGCUGGUAGGGGAGCCGUGAAUCUGGAGGAUGACCAUCACUCUACCAACCAGGGUUGUAAGUUUGUAUUAACCAAACAAACUGGAAAUAAAGGGCUUAAAAAUAAGACAAACUACAUGUUUGUUACCAGUCUUUAGGGCCAGACUCGCGCUGUUUGUUCCAGACCAGGACUCUGGCUGAGGAGAGCUGAUGGAGGAGCCAAGACUCUGGAGGACGACAUCACUCCACCAACCAGGAUCCUUACAAAUUACGUUUGUAACCAGACCAGGAAUCUGGAGGACUGAUGGAGAAGCCAUACAUCUGGAAGGCAAAUCCUGAGGACCACCAGGACUCUACCAUCAAGGAUUCCUCAUAAAUGUGCAUUAUCUGGACAUAGUGGACUAGACAAACCUGAGCUGAACCUCACCUGAUCCUGUUUGGUCGGGGGUAGACACACCUGAGCUAAACCCGCCCUGAUCCUGACAUCCUGCUGGUCCUGUCUCCUCAGUUCAUCUGAGCCUCGUCCUCCAGAAGACCUGCUGAGCUCAGCAGUCUGAGGCUGAUGGAUCAAUGACCUCCAGUGGGAGUGUUCUUCUUGACCCCACAUGUAACCGUGUGCUUCCACACGCCUUUCCCUCACGUCUGUCACUAACCUCACUACUUCACUACUCUCUACUGCUUCCUCUUCUUCUUCCUUCUCUGUGGUUCGAACCUUUACACGGAAGGCGCGUCUUCCUGCCCUCAGAGGGUUUAGCGUUAGGGUUGAGAGUCAGGGUUUAGAGUCAGGGACAGAGCUGGUCAGGGAGGACUCCUUUUACACAAACCUCUUCACUUGCUUUCGGAAUGGUGGUGACAUUUUGAAAAGAUUCAUUUGGGAAAAUGUUUUCCUCUGCUUUCCUUUACAAAUUGUAUUAAACUUCUGUCAAGUGUUUUUGUUUAUAUAUUAAAAUCCCACAUU